Long non-coding RNA from Mugil cephalus (flathead mullet), 740 nucleotides. RefSeq lists it as uncharacterized. The transcript is spliced from 2 exons. The record is from RefSeq and is a predicted model, not a curated record. Lineage: Eukaryota; Metazoa; Chordata; Actinopteri; Mugiliformes; Mugilidae.
CGGAGACUGAUCCCAGCUGUGAGGAACUGCAGAAAGGCUCGUACCCAGUACGUCACCCACAAGAAAAGUAGCAACCAACUGUUGAACAAAGCAGCCUCACGCUUCCACCACUGUGGUCCAGCAUCUCUCUCUCUCCGGGCCCCACCUCUCCUCCACUCUUUAACCAGGAUCAGCUGAUUACCUGAGUGGAACCAGCUGCAGGUCAGAGGAGGGGCCAUCACCUGGAGGAAGGAGAGUGGAGAGAGACACACAAACACAACAACUACUACAAUGGCACUUGGGUCAUAACAAUUAGUUAUUUAUUGUAUUUGUUUUUCAAGCUUAAACCAGUAGGUUCAUAAAUACAUUAACAUUUCUCUUUAUUCUCAUUACUUGUUAGUGCUUUUAUUUUGAAGUCAUUGGGUAACUCUUCUCAUUCUUCUUCAGUGUUCCACUGUUCUCAGCAAACAUUACAGUCAGUUGUAUUUAGUCCCAGAUGUUCUCCAGCUGUUUAAAGCUCUUCUUCUCUUUAUUUCUAAUCAUUAUUACAUUUGACUGUUUUAUUUAUAUUUCAUUGUAUUCACUGGAAAUAUUCACAUGUUCACUGGGCUCAACUAAAAAGAUCCAGAGUCCAUUAACCAGUGAAGACAGUCCAGAUGUUUGUCUCAUCCAGAUGUCCUCAUGAUGGAUCAGAUCCACUGACAGACUGUGGACAGUCUGGAAGCCUCAAUGUAACUCAGUCUUGUCUCCAUUCAUCUAAA